This 413-nucleotide ribosomal RNA is filed under the name uncultured Pseudomonadota bacterium. RNAcentral's name for it is "bacterial SSU rRNA". It matches the Rfam family "Bacterial small subunit ribosomal RNA", at positions 810 to 1222 of the family's 1533-position model. Lineage: Bacteria; Pseudomonadati; Pseudomonadota. The record is from RNAcentral.
UGUCAACUAGUUGUCGGAUCUNUUUAGACUUNGUAUCGNAGNUAACGCGUGAAGUUGACCGCCUGGGAAGUACGAUCGCAAGAUUAAAACUCAAAGGAAUUGACGGGGACCCGCACAAGCGGUGGAUUAUGUGGAUUAAUUCGAUGCAACGCGAAAAACCUUACCUACCCUUGACAUGCUUGGAAUCUAAUGGAGACAUAAGAGUGCCCGAAAGGGAGCCAAGACACAGGUGCUGCAUGGCUGUCGUCAGCUCGUGUCGUGAGAUGUUGGGUUAAGUCCCGCAACGAGCGCAACCCUUGUCACUAAUUGCUAUCAUUUUUAAUGCGCACUUUAGUGAGACUGCCGGUGACAAACCGGAGGAAGGUGGGGAUGACGUCAAGUCCUCAUGGCCCUUAUGGGUAGGGCUUCACACG